RNAcentral lists this transfer RNA (70 nucleotides) under Dipodomys ordii (Ord's kangaroo rat). It matches the Rfam family "tRNA". From Rfam's summary of the family: Transfer RNA (tRNA) molecules are approximately 80 nucleotides in length. Their secondary structure includes four short double-helical elements and three loops (D, anti-codon, and T loops). Further hydrogen bonds mediate the characteristic L-shaped molecular structure. tRNAs have two regions of fundamental functional importance: the anti-codon, which is responsible for specific mRNA codon recognition, and the 3' end, to which the tRNAs corresponding amino acid is attached (by aminoacyl-tRNA synthetases). tRNAs cope with the degeneracy of the genetic code in two manners: having more than one tRNA (with a specific anti-codon) for a particular amino acid; and 'wobble' base-pairing, i.e. permitting non-standard base-pairing at the 3rd anti-codon position. The record is from Rfam by way of RNAcentral. Lineage: Eukaryota; Metazoa; Chordata; Mammalia; Rodentia; Heteromyidae.
GGGACUGUGGCUUAGUGGUAGAGUGCUUAUCUAACAUAUAUGAAGCCCUGGGUUUGAGACCUCAGUACCA